CCUACGGGAGGCAGCAGUGAGGAAUAUUGGACAAUGGGCGCAAGCCUGAUCCAGCCAUGCCGCGUGCAGGAAGAAGCAUCUAUGGUGUGUAAACUGCUUUUGUACAGGAAGAAACACUCCCUCGUGAGGGAGCUUGACGGUACUGUAAGAAUAAGGACCGGCUAACUCCGUGCCAGCAGCCGCGGUAAUACGGAGGGUCCGAGCGUUAUCCGGAAUCAUUGGGUUUAAAGGGUCCGUAGGCGGUUUAAUAAGUCAGUGGUGAAAUCUGGUCGCUCAACGAUCAAACGGCCAUUGAUACUGUUAGACUUGAAUUAUAAGGAAGUAACUAGAAUAUGUAGUGUAGCGGUGAAAUGCUUAGAUAUUACAUGGAAUACCAAUUGCGAAGGCAGGUUACUACUUAUGGAUUGACGCUGAUGGACGAAAGCGUGGGGAGCGAACAGGAUUAGAUACCCUGGUAGUCCACGCCGUAAACGAUGGAUACUAGCUGUUCGGAGCAAUCUGAGUGGCUAAGCGAAAGUGAUAAGUAUCCCACCUGGGGAGUACGUUGCAAGAAUGAAACUUAAGGAAUUGACCGGNUGAGACGAGCGAGACGACGACGAGGGAGGAGG
Molecule: ribosomal RNA, 608 nt
Filed under: uncultured bacterium
Lineage: Bacteria
Description: bacterial SSU rRNA
Rfam family: Bacterial small subunit ribosomal RNA
Source: RNAcentral